AUGUCAGAAAUAGUGUUCUUGACAUUACAUUCCGUUUUAAAGACCUGAACCAGCCUGAUUAUAGUUUAUCACAUUAUAUCAUCACAAAGAAUUUAUAUUUAUUUCUAAACUUUUCUGUGACUGGUAAGCAUGUUCUUGUGUGAGGAAUGAGUUAAUUCAGUGACAGUGAGUCUGUAUAUAUUUAAGGAAGAAAAAGUUGUAAGUAUAUAAUAUUCAUAGUAAUUUGAAGUCUGAAUCUGUGUCUGUUUAUCUACAGGCUCUGCGAUAUGAUUUAGCAUAUCAGAAUGCUCAAUACCUUCGUCUUCGGUUGCCGCUAAUAUGGUAUUUUCAGACUCUCUGAUUUAUGUUACGAAUGUGAACUAAUCCUGUACUUAUGAUAUUGUUGGUGCUCUGUAAGAAUGGCUGAAGUCAAACAGUAAUUUGUAGGGACCUAACCUUUUCAUAGCAGGCCUCAUAUAGAUACGUUGUUUGGUGCAGUAUAUCGUGAAAGUUUAUUUGUACAUUUGUCAUGUUAAGUUUGUAUGUUAAUAGAAUAUAUGUAUAUUUUUAGUACUGCAGUACAGUAGUGUGUACUUGAAUAUAAUUGUUACCAGUAAUACCAUAACUUUCAGAAGACUGCAAUAUGCUUACCGAGAGCUGCAUUUGUAAUGUAAACCAAAUGGCCGUAGUGUUCAUAUUUUAUUGUGAUUUAGAAGAUGUAAUAUUUUCCCCAAAUAAUUUUUUUUUCUAAUCAGUAUACCUAGUUACAGACACACACUUGCAUGUAGUGAGAGGAAAUUCUGAUUCAAAGCAAGGUUCAGCAAUGUGCUGGAUUUUGAAUUUUUUAUGAACUCACUGGUUCAAUACAUUAUUCAAACUGACAAGACAGCAGGUAUGUAUGACACAAUGAAACCUAUUGUAGAAGUUACCAAAAAAUGUUCAGUCACAUAAGAAACUUGAGUGAGUCUGUGGAUAUAUAUAUAUACAGUACAGAUAUUUACGGAAGAAUGGUCGCCAGAUUAAGGACUUCAACAGCACGUAGAAUGCUUUAUGCACAUAAUGUGUGAAAUCGGUGCUUUUCAUCUCAUCUGUUUUAUAAAAAAAGGAGUAUUUUUAAGAUAUGAUUAAUAUUAAGAAAAGUAAAAAGAAAUGUUUGGAUGUUAAUGCAUGAAAGUAUGUUGGUAUUUCAGUGCCUCCUGCUACAUUUCAGUACCACAAUUAAGAAUUAAAAUAUAUUGUACUAUGAU
This is a non-coding RNA of Zootermopsis nevadensis, 1226 nucleotides long. The record is from RefSeq and is a predicted model, not a curated record. NCBI's taxonomy places the organism in Eukaryota, Metazoa, Arthropoda, Insecta, Blattodea, Termopsidae.